This 668-nucleotide ribosomal RNA is filed under the name Dentiscutata heterogama. RNAcentral's name for it is "eukaryotic LSU rRNA". It matches the Rfam family "Eukaryotic large subunit ribosomal RNA", at positions 63 to 641 of the family's 3401-position model. The record is from RNAcentral. Lineage: Eukaryota; Fungi; Glomeromycota; Glomeromycetes; Diversisporales; Gigasporaceae.
AACUAACAAGGAUUCCCCUAGUAACGGCGAGUGAAGCGGGAAGAGCACAAAUUUAAAAUCUACCUGGUUUUCAGGUCGAGUUGUAAUUUGAAGAUACGUUUUUGACGUUCCGGGUUGGACUAAAUCCUUUGGGAUAAGGUAUCAUGGAGGGUGAGAAUCCCGUAUAUACCAACCAUAGGGAUGUUAUUUAAUACGUUUCUAAGAGUCGAGUUGUUUGGGAAUGCAGCUCUAAAUGGGUGGUAAAUUUCACCUAAUGCUAAAUAUAAGCGAGAGACCGAUAGCGAACAAGUACAGUGAUGGAAAGAUGAAAAGAACUUUGAAAAGAGAGUUAAAUAGUACGUGAAAUUGUUGAAAGGGAAACGAUUGAAGUCAGUCAUGCCNGUGGGAAUCAACUUAGRGGAAACUCURAGUGCACUUCUUCGCUUGGCAGGUCAACGUCGAUUUUGGAUGUCAUAAAAUGAUUGGGGGAAGGUAGCUCCUUCGGGAGUGUUAUAGCCCUUGGUAGAUGUGAUGUCUGGGAUCGAGGAUUGCAAUGGAUACCCUUUGGGGCUAGCCGYCUGAUCUCUAAUUGGUAUUGGGUUACGGAUAGCAUGCUGACCGUGAUCUAAUUAUUGGUUAAAAGGUUAGAGCGUGCAUAAAUUCAUUAAGGACNUUGACNUAAUGGCUUU